GAUGAACGCUGACAGAAUGCUUAACACAUGCAAGUCAACUUGAACUUCGGUUUGGGUGGCGGACGGGUGAGUAACGCGUAAAGAACUUGCCUCACAGCUAGGGACAACAUUUGGAAACGAAUGCUAAUACCUGAUAUUAUGAUUAUAUGGCAUCGUAUAAUUAUGAAAGCUAUAUGCGCUGUGAGAGAGCUUUGCAUCCCAUUAGCUAGUUGGAGAGGUAACAGCUCACCAAGGCGAUGAUGGGUAGCCGGCCUGAGAGGGUGAUCGGCCACAAGGGGACUGAGACACGGCCCUUACUCCUACGGGAGGCAGCAGUGGGGAAUAUUGGACAAUGGACCGAGAGUCUGAUCCAGCAAUUCUGUGUGCACGAUGAAGUUUUUCGGAAUGUAAAGUGCUUUCAGUUGGGAAGAAAAAAAUGACGGUACCAACAGAAGAAGUGACGGCUAAAUACGUG
RNAcentral lists this ribosomal RNA (454 nucleotides) under uncultured bacterium. Its description in RNAcentral is "partial 16S ribosomal RNA". It matches the Rfam family "Bacterial small subunit ribosomal RNA", at positions 28 to 507 of the family's 1533-position model. The record is from RNAcentral.